Molecule: long non-coding RNA, 206 nt
Filed under: Elaeis guineensis (African oil palm)
Lineage: Eukaryota; Viridiplantae; Streptophyta; Magnoliopsida; Arecales; Arecaceae
Description: long non-coding RNA (EGUI_LNC056412)
Source: RNAcentral
UGCAAUGUCAAUUAAAAAUAAUAGACCCAUUACCAUUUACCUUAAUGGGAGGCUAUGAUCCAGUUAUCUCCAUAACUAGCUCAUUUUAUGGACCUAAUAAUUUAGAAGAUUUAACUAAUUUAGAGAAGAGAGAAGAAGAGAUCAAUCAGUAGACCACAAUCCUUCCACUGACUUCACCAAGUCACUUAAUCGGAUUAGGAUCAUGC